UCUCUCUCUCUCUCUGGUCUUUUGUGGUAUUUUCCAGAGUUGACAGACUCCAGGCAGGUAUAUUUGCUUGCUUUUGCUUUGUUUGGAAAACCAAGGCACACCCAACAGCACCACCAAGACACCCAAUAGUGCAGACAUUUCUUUGGCUGCAAAUCAAAAUGGGAUAUGUUGUGGUGGUAUCAGUUCCUGUGAUAUUGUUCAUCGUGAUUAUAGCCCUUGCUUUUUACCUCAUUGGUAGGGCAAACGGCCGAAGGGAAGCUGUCUCUGCUCAACAGCAUUUUGGGCCUCCAGUGCCUCCUCCACUACAGGCCCAGGAAAAGUCCGACCAGGUCUGAAAAAUCCUGGGAGUAAAAAUUGUGUGUCUGCUGUUGUAAGAAAAGAAACCGUCAAAUGUGUAUGCAUAAAACAAUUGAUUUCUAUAAUUUUGAAAAAUAAUUAAUUGGGUCCA
Long non-coding RNA from Prunus dulcis (almond), 448 nucleotides. RefSeq lists it as uncharacterized. NCBI's taxonomy places the organism in Eukaryota, Viridiplantae, Streptophyta, Magnoliopsida, Rosales, Rosaceae. The transcript is spliced from 2 exons. The record is from RefSeq and is a predicted model, not a curated record.